Molecule: long non-coding RNA, 558 nt
Organism: Sapajus apella (tufted capuchin)
Lineage: Eukaryota; Metazoa; Chordata; Mammalia; Primates; Cebidae
Exons: 2
Source: RefSeq, a predicted model, not a curated record
AACCGGGAAUGAUGUAAUUUCUGUUUUAAAAAGGUGAGUUGGGCUGUUGGAUGGGGAGCCAGCUGAUGCAGGGGAGUAGCAGGCAUAGAGCCAGUAGAAGGCCCUCCAUCUGACGUCACCUGCCUCACUAGCCUGUGCUGCUGAGACCCUGGCAUGCCUUACGGUCACCCCCGUCCACAUUUACACUGCGCCUCAAUCCAUCUCUCCUGGUUUAGAGAUGGCAGAGGCACCCGUCCCUCUUUCCCAGGUUGCUAUUAACACAGGGCGCGAGCGCCCAGAACGACUCCUUCCCACGCUCCUUCAUUCUCUCUGCAGACUGUCUUCCCACCACCUUGUUCCGAGGCUCUGGGAAGAGUUACGUGAGACCUCCAGGAACACCACAUGACAUCGGAGGCAGAGAUUGGAGGGGCCAGCUAACAGCCAGGGAGCGCUGAAGAUUGACAUCACAGGCUGGAAGAGGCAGGAAGGUUCUGCCUUAGAGCCUGGCCCUGCAGCACCUUGGUCUCAGACUUCCAGUCUCCAGAAGUGGAACACGAUACAUUCCUGUUGUUUUCAGCC